UGAGUGGUGCAUGCGCGUCAGUGCAAGGAUCCCCUAGCGUAUUCUAAGAAGAGAUCAUCCCUCGGUGCUGCGUGGUAGAGAGUUGCGUAUAGCUGUAGAGGAGAGUGAGGAGAGGAGAAGCGUUCUGUGUAGAGGGGACACCGGGAAUGCGUAAUCAAUGAGGGUGCAAGCAAUAUUUAUAUAGAAGGCGGAUUCCAAACGUUGAAACACCCUCAUAACGGAAGGGUGAUAAAGGGGGGGACAAGCGCUCGGUUCCGAGGGAGAACGCUUUCCCUCAUUUGUUUCUACUAAGAAGGAGCGACCGAAUCCCUUGCAAUCAUGGGGAACCGGGGGAUGGAAGACCUUAUUCCUCUUGUGAAUAAAAUGCAAGAUGCCUUCUCGGCUAUCGGUCAAAAUUCCCAGUUGGAUCUACCUCAAAUCGCUGUGGUCGGCGGGCAGAGUGCAGGGAAAAGCUCGGUGUUGGAGAACUUCGUUGGGAAAGAUUUCCUUCCCCGUGGCUCUGGCAUCGUCACCCGCCGUCCCUUGGUCCUCCAGCUGAUCAACUGUCCCACAGAAUAUGCAGAGUUCCUUCACUGUAAGGGGAAGAAGUUCACAGACUUCGAUGAGGUUCGUGGGGAGAUUGAGGCGGAGACGGACCGCAUCACUGGGCAGAAUAAGGGAAUCUCACCUGUGCCAAUAAAUCUCAGGGUCUACUCCCCGCAUGUCCUGAAUCUGACUCUGGUGGACUUGCCGGGGAUGACCAAGGUCCCAGUAGGGGACCAGCCUGCGGACAUUGAGCAGCAGAUCAGAGACAUGUUAUAUCAGUUUGUGACCAAGGACAACUGUCUGCUACUGGCUGUUUCCCCGGCCAACUCUGAUCUGGCCAACUCAGAUGCCCUGAAGAUUGCCAAAGAAGUGGACCCACAGGGUCAGCGAACCAUUGGUGUGAUCACCAAGCUGGAUCUGAUGGAUGAGGGGACUGACGCCAGAGAAAUUCUGGAAAAUAAGCUGCUCCCACUGCGAAGAGGUUACAUUGGUGUGGUGAACAGGAGUCAGAAGGACAUAGAUGGGAAGAAGGACAUCACAGCGGCCAUGGCUGCAGAGAGGAAGUUCUUCCUGACCCAUCCUGGAUACAGACACCUGGCUGAACGCAUGGGCACCCCCUACCUACAGAAAACACUCAACCAGCAACUGACCAAUCACAUCCGGGACACUCUGCCGGGGCUGCGGGCCAAGCUGCAGAGCCAGCUGCUGUCUAUAGAGAAGGAGGUGGAGGAGUACAAGAACUUCAGACCUGACGACCCCUCCCGCAAGACCAAGGCCCUGUUGCAGAUGGUGCAGCAGUUCUCAGUGGACUUUGAGAAGCGUAUCGAGGGCUCUGGGGACCAGAUCGACACAGCAGAGCUGUCAGGCGGAGCCAAGAUCAACCGCAUCUUCCACGAGCGAUUCCCCUUCGAGCUGGUCAAGAUGGAGUUUAACGAAAAGGAGCUUCGCAAGGAGAUCAGCUACGCCAUUAAGAACAUCCACGGCAUUAGAACUGGCCUCUUCACCCCGGACAUGGCCUUUGAGACCAUUGUGAAAAGGCAGAUCGGCAAGAUCAAAGAGCCCUGCCAGAAAUGUGUGGACAUGGUCAUUUCUGAGCUAGUCAAUACCGUUAGGCAGUGUACUCAGAAGCUGGCUCAGUACCCCAUGCUGAGGGAGGAGAUGGACAAGAUUGUCACCCAGCAUAUCCGAGACCGCGAGAGUCGCACCAAGGACCAGGUGAUGCUGCUGAUUGACAUUGAGCUGGCCUACAUGAACACCAACCAUGAGGACUUCAUUGGCUUUGCCAAUGCUCAGCAGAGGAGCAGCCAGGUGGCCCAGAAGAAGCAACCUGGCAACAAGCAGGAUGAAAUCAUGCCGGAGAGAGGAGCGGUUAAUGAUCGGUUUAAGGUGAUCAGGAAGGGCUGGCUGACCAUCAACAACAUUGGCAUCAUGAAGGGAGGAGCCAAGGAGUACUGGUUCGUCCUGACCGCUGAGUCCCUGUCCUGGUACAAGGAUGAUGAGGAGAAAGAGAAGAAGUACAUGCUCCAGGUGGACAACCUGAGGCUGAGGGAUGUGGAGAAGAGCUUCAUGUCGAGCAAGCAGAUCUUUGCCCUGUUCAACACUGAGCAAAGGAAUGUGUAUAAGGACUACCGUCAGCUGGAGUUGGCCUGCGAGACUCAGGACGACAUAGAUGGGUGGAAGGCCUCCUUCCUUAGAGCCGGGGUGUAUCCUGAACGCGUCACGGAAAAGGAGGGCAAGCAGAGUGAAAGUGGAGAUGGAGAGAACGGCUCAGAUAACUUCAUGCACUCCAUAGACCCCCAGCUGGAGAGGCAGGUUGAGACCAUCCGCAACCUGGUGGACUCCUACAUGGCCAUUGUCAACAAGACCAUCAGGGACCUCAUGCCCAAGACCAUCAUGUAUCUCAUGAUCAACAACACCAAGGAGUUCAUCAACGCGGAGCUGCUGGCCAACCUGUACCACUCUGGGGACCAGAACAGCCUGAUGGAGGAGUCCCAGGAGCAGGCCCAUCACCGCGACGAGAUGCUCCGCAUGUACCAUGCCCUGAGGGAGGCCCUAAACAUCAUCGGAGACAUCAGCACUACCACUGUCACCACCGCCAUGCCGCCGCCUGUAGACGACUCCUGGCUGAGGCCGGGGGGAAACAACUCUGGGGGCAGGUCCCCAGCCAGCAGUCCCACUCCGAACAGAAGGGCUCCCCCAGGUCCCCCUGGUCGCCCUGUCUCCCGUGGCUCAGCCCCUGGCCUCCCUCCUGGCCCCCCUGUCCCCUCUCGCCCAGGGGCCUCCCCGGACCCUUUCGGUGGGCCCCCCCCAUCAGUCCCCUCCCGGCCUAACCGCGCACCCCCCGGUGUGCCCAGGGGGAUGUGAAGACGCCAGGAGGAUGGAUGGAGAAUCACUAUCAGUGACCAAUGAGGACUAACGCUUCUGCCGAAGACCCCCGUCCUCACCAACCCACUAGACUACUGAGCCCCCUUCCCCUCCGACUCACCACCUACCCCACGGCAGAGAGACCAAGGACUGCAGAGCAACCUUCCUUACCUAGACCUGACCCUUCUUUCUCCUCUCCCUUCUCUACUAGAUGACACAGUCACGUCACCCACGCACAAACCCACAGACAGACAGACACAUUGUAUACCCCGAAUACAGAGAAAUGCAUUCACCCUCCACUGUAUAUUAAGGACCAUUGUAGAUAAGACUUCCAACACACUCAGACAUGUGUAAAUAGUCACACACUUAAACGGACAGGGCAGUGUAUGCGUGGGUGGAUUCAGCAAAUAUGGAUGAGAGGGUUAAGGAACGCUAUGCUGAAAUAUUUUUUCUUUCUCACCCUCCCCUUCAGAUGGCUAUUUCUGGUUGCUGACUUUCUUUCUUCCUCUCAUAUCUGAAUGAUAUUUUUUUCUCUGAUAAUUUGGGAUAUUGAUAAUGAUCUUUUUUUGUUCUGGUUGACAUGUUAUUCUGUGUUGAAUCUCUCUCGGGAGUAGAUGCAUUAUCCAUCUAUCUAGGAAAGUGGAGUGGAUCAGAAGGGAUAACUGCAUCUGAACAACAGCUUUCUUUUUGUUGUCUUCUGCUAUGAUCAUCAUGAUCCAUAUUGGUCCCUAAAGUCACAGGCUCGGACAAACCUGACAUAAAUGGGCAAGGGCCCUUUUAGUCGGAAAAACACCCAAAGAGAAAAUAUAUACAUUAAUGGUACUGACUCAUGUGUCACAAUGUGGUAUCUAUCUCUGUGAUUUCUAUGUAUUAUUUAUGAUACACUGAUUCAUGUGUCCUAUUAUAUCUAACAUCACGACAGUGUUUCCUCGCCUCUGAGUUUGGGGACAUUUUCUCCCGUUAUGUUUCAUUCACUUGUUCAUCCUUCACUUAAUCUGGCUUCAUUACGUCCUCUUUCCUAUCUGUUUCUACUUGACUCUUUUUAUUGUAUAGCGGUCCAAGCAAGGGUGGGCCCUCUCACCCGAGAGCCCCCUGCCUCCUUUGGAAUCCUAGAAGCCCCCUUUUUUUCCCCCUUUGGGACCCCCUGACACCCAUCUCUUCUCUAACACUCCCCCAUUUCCACCACUCAGCCCCUACAUGUGAAUCCACACUAUCCUUCACACACCAAUCAGAGAUGUCAGCAGCUCUUCACAACAGCCUCCCGCAAAGUAAGGGUGGAGGGGGGAGGAAGAGAGAGGAAAUAAAUAAACGCGAACCCCGCCCUCUCGGAGUGGCCAUACCAUUCCUGUUCAUGGAUAGAAAAACAAAAUAUCUCUUCCUCCUCUUCAGUAGGACUGAGGGUGAGGAGAACAUGUGGAACGUUCUGCAUCUGUGUCCAUGUACUACCUUCAGUAGCCACCAGGCCUUGCGUCACUGUGAAGGCCCAUUCUUAUGUGAUGUGAUAACCAUGAUGAUGAUGUAUUGCUGUGUCGGCAAUGAUACAACGAUUGUUCAGGUGUUCAGACUGUGAACUGGUCACAGGAGGUUGGUGGCACCUUAAUUGGGGAGGACAGGCAAGGACAUGGUUUCCAUGGGUUUGAUGCCAUUCCAUUCGCUCCGUUGAUCACUAUGAGCCGUCCUCUCCUCAGCAGCCUCCUGUGGAUCUGGUGUAGAUCGGUGUAAAAUCCUCCUCGACCUGCCACGAGUGCUGGGGGGGUUGUGAACUAGAGGGUCUCCUGCUAAAACCUGUGGCCCAACGUUGAGCAGUCAUCCGUCUGUCUCUUCUCCUCCUCUCCCACUUGUCAAUGAACCACUUCCCCACUAGUGAAACUCAGUACCUUAGCGAGGCGGGAUCUAAAUAGAAAGUGCAAUAUGUUCUUAUUGGACAGCUUAAUGAGAGCUGUCCACCAAUCACACCAGACUCAGAAUAGAUGCUCAGCCUGAGAGGAGGCAAGGAGACAGACAAGGCCCUAACGGUUCGUCGCAACACUGUCACAUGGCAUCCUUUCUCCUUUCCUCACAAGGAAAGCUCAAACAUUGAAGUUGUUUUCAGGAAGACCAUUUAUAAGUGUUGCCAGUCCAAGUUGAGAUUUUUUUGACCCUGUGUUUACAAAGAGCAGUGACCGUAACAGAACGUGUGUUAGAUAUCAUUGGAACUGUGUAAUACGUGUUGGGGCGGGGGACACUGAUUUUGGCAUGGCUUAUCAACUUUUUUCAUUUUCUGUUCUUUCCUUUUCCCUGUCUUCCCUCUCUCAGUGGUCAAGGGGGUGAGUGAAGACGUCAGGUUUAAAACCACCAACAACCCAAUCAGUGAUGGUCUAUAUACACACACACACCUACCUAUACAGUGCACCUCUCCCGCUCCCAUGUCACUCAUGCGUUCCAUUGCUGUUUAAGAGAUGUGAGUUGACCCCCCUUUCCACCAGUGGACUCUGUAGUUUGUAUUUUUGACCCCGUUGGUAAUAAUAGUACAUGGGCUCAUUAACCUACCCACAAACCCGUUUCAGUAUCCAUAGCGUACUCACCUCAUACACACCUACCCCUCUUCACAACACCCUUGAGUCUUAGCAACAGCCAAUAAAUAAAGCUAUUAUAAAAUUAAUUAUUAAGAGUACAUUUUAUCAUGGACAUAUCUUACUUGUGUAAUGUAUCCUGUGUGGUGCAUCGUCUGAAACUGUGUUCCACUUGUGUAGACGUUAGUUGACAUUGUAUGAAUACUGAAUAUUAAAUUAUUACAAAUAAGUGACUGUGGUGUACAAUGAAACAUGACAAAAAUAAAGACAAAUAAGUGAAUCAUGUUAUAUGAAAUCCUUGGCUAUGGAUGUUGAGUAUUGGCAGGGUGUUUGAUUAGUAGUAUGUAGAAUAAUUUGUCGCUUGUCUCUCGGUCUCUGUCCGGAAAGGAAAUGGGGGGGGCAGAGUAAAUAUUUGUAUUCUGUCCUGCUGUGACGACUUUGUCCUGUAUCUUAUCUUACUGCUGUCGGUGGAAUGUGUCUGUCCAACAGGACUGCUUUGUCAAGACAUUAAAAGUCAGCGUACUGUUA
Oncorhynchus tshawytscha (Chinook salmon) is the source of this 5969-nucleotide RNA transcript. It is a transcript of the gene named dynamin 1a, with no coding region annotated. NCBI's taxonomy places the organism in Eukaryota, Metazoa, Chordata, Actinopteri, Salmoniformes, Salmonidae. The record is from RefSeq and is a predicted model, not a curated record. The transcript is spliced from 25 exons.